Molecule: ribosomal RNA, 500 nt
Filed under: uncultured bacterium
Lineage: Bacteria
Description: bacterial SSU rRNA
Rfam family: Bacterial small subunit ribosomal RNA
Source: RNAcentral
GACGAACGCUGGCGGCGUGCCUAACACAUGCAAGUCGAACGGGGUAUGAAUAAUACCUAGUGGCGAACGGGUGAGUAACGCGUGAGCAACCUGACCUUUUGAGGGGGAUAACAACCGGAAACGGUUGCUAAUACCGCAUAAGACCACAGAGCCGCAUGGCUUAGAGGUCAAAGGAGUAAUCCGCAGAAGGAGGGGCUCGCGUCCCAUUAGAUAGUUGGUGAGGUAACGGCCCACCAAGUCAGCGAUGGGUAGCCGAGCUGAGAGGCUGAUCGGCCACACUGGAACUGAGACACGGCCCAGACUCCUACGGGAGGCAGCAGUGGGGAAUUUUGGACAAUGGGCGAAAGCCUGAUCCAGCCAUGCCGCGUGCGGGAAGAAGGCCUUCGGGUUGUAAACCGCUUUUGGCAGGAACGAAAUGGCGCUGACUAAUACUCGGCGCUAAUGACGGUACCUGCAGAAUAAGCACCGGCUAACUACGUGCCAGCAGCCGCGGUAAUACG